GUCUAUGGCCACGCCACCCUGAAUGUGCCUGAUCUCAUCUGAUCUCGGAAGCUUAGUAGGGUCAGGCCUGGUUAGUACUUGGAUGGGAGACCACCUAGGAAUAUUGGGUGCUGUAGGCG
This 119-nucleotide ribosomal RNA is filed under the name Pteropus alecto (black flying fox). Lineage: Eukaryota; Metazoa; Chordata; Mammalia; Chiroptera; Pteropodidae. The record is from RNAcentral.